GUGGUGAAAUCUUCAAGCUUAACUUGGRAACUGCCAUUGAUACURUYUAUCUUGAAUACUUUGGAGGUAAGCGGAAUAUGUCAUGUAGCGGUGAAAUGCUUAGAUAUGACAUAGAACACCAAUUGCGAAGGCAGCUUACUACACAGUUAUUGACACUGAGGCACGAAAGCGUGGGGAUCAAACAGGAUUAGAUACCCUGGUAGUCCACGCCCUAAACGAUGGAUACUCGACAUUAGCGAUACACUGUUAGUGUCUGAGCGAAAGCAUUAAGUAUCCCACCUGGGAAGUACGAUCGCAAGAUUG
Molecule: ribosomal RNA, 303 nt
Filed under: uncultured bacterium
Lineage: Bacteria
Description: bacterial SSU rRNA
Rfam family: Bacterial small subunit ribosomal RNA
Source: RNAcentral